UUUCAGAACUUAUUUGGCUUUUAAUAGGAAUAAGUAAGUAUUCCCUGGCAUGUCUUAAACUUGAAACUAUAGUUUAUUUCAUCACAAAUGAAAAUUCCCCUUUUCUUAGUUUUACGUCGUAUUUUUCUCCCUCCAAAGGGCACCGACCCCCUUCCCCCAAAACUGAAAAAAAUCACUGAGAUCAAAUGUCAACAGGGCUUUUUUCCUGUCCAGUCCAUAACUCUCCCAUCCAUGAAGGGAUUGUAAUAUCAAUUGGCACAAUUGUACCUCAUAAUAAGACAAUGUGUUAUGCACAACUUUCAGGCCCCUAGCUCAAAGGUCAAGGUCACCCUUAGCAGUCAAAUGUUAACAUGGAAUGAACAGAGUCUGUUUCCUGUCAGGUCCAUAACUCUGUCAUUCAUUAAGGGAUCUCAAUAUUACUUGGCACAGAUGUUUCCCAUGAUAAGACAACAUGUCGUGCUUAAAACCCGGACCCCUAGCUCAUAGGUCAAGGUCAAAAUUGGAGGCCAAAGGUCAAUAGUGGUUUUUUCCUGUCCGGUCCAGAACUGUGUCAUCCAUCAAGGGAUUACAAUAUUACUUGGCAUAAAUGUUCCCCAUGAUGAGACGACAUGUCAUGCACAACACCCAGUACCCUAGCUUAAAGGUCAAGGUCACGCUUUGAGAUCAAAGGUCAAUAGGAUUUCUUUCCUGUUUGGUCUAUAACUUUGUUAUGCAAAACAGGAUUUGAAUAUCAGUUGGCACAAACAUUCCCUUGGAUGAGACGGCGUGUUGUGUGCAAAGCCCCGGCCCUAGGUCUAAGAUCAAGGUCACACUAAGAGGUCAAAGGUCAGAUUCAAGAAUGACUUUGUCUGUGGCAUUUCUCCUUUAUGCAUGGAGGGAUUUUAAUGUAACUUGGCACAAAUGUUCACCACUGUGAGACGAAUUGUUAUGCGCCAGAACCAGGUCCUUAGGUCUAAAGUCAAGGUCAUACUUAGAGGUCAAAGGUCAAAUUCAAGAAUGACUGUCAGGAGCAUUUCUUCUUCAUGCAUGGAGGGAUUAUUUUUAUGUAACUCGGCACAAAUGUUCACCACCAUGAGGCACACUUUUUUUUAGAACUACGUCGCUUUGUUGUUACUAUAAAUAGAUUAUAUUGUAACUUUUUGAUAAUUGACCAUAGGGAAAAACCAAGAUCACUUUUUUGUGGUACAACAUAAUGUUACUUUCAACUUUAGGUAUAUUUUAAGGUAUCUCUGCCUGGUAAGGAGUUUUUUUGUGGAUUCAGAAAAAACAAAGAAUUACAAUAAUUACUACACAACCAUAGAAUUAAAAUUCCAUUUGCAAAUAGAGGUGCUAGUGUAAAGAAAUUUGCUAUGACAGGCGUACAUUGUGACAUUCUGGCACUCUUGUUUUUUUUUGUUUUUAUACAUACAAAUUUUAAUCCAAGUGUUUUGUUAUAACAUAGUGUAUAUAUAGUACAAUGUUGUUUAUACAUUAUUGACAGAUACCAGAGUUCAUUAUGUUAUACUGCAGUAGAGAAAAUUAGUUGCCUUCCAGUAGGGGACUUUGUAUUGCAUGGCAAUAUACUUAAUUCACUUGUUUAUCAAAGGAUGUUAACUGAAAAUUUACUGACUGAAUAGUGAACAGUACAGACCUUGAUGAGCCUGCAAGGAUGUGUAGGCUGAUCUUGGUCUGCACUAGCUGCAAAGGCACUAUCACUUGCUGCCAGCAAGCUAAAGGUUAAGGUUAAUAUGUGUAUUUGUUGUUGGACUUUGAAAUUAGAUAAUAUUACUAAUAUUAAAUUCUUUUAUUGUAUCUGAGGUUAAUUGAUUCU
Molecule: long non-coding RNA, 1810 nt
Organism: Mercenaria mercenaria
Lineage: Eukaryota; Metazoa; Mollusca; Bivalvia; Venerida; Veneridae
Exons: 2
Source: RefSeq, a predicted model, not a curated record